GCCGCCUCGUCGGCGCACCGGCGCUCUCGUGUUUCCGUAAAGCGGCAGCUCUACUCAGAGCCGGCUGAAGGCCGAACCUUGUCAAGGUCACGGCCGCUGCGCGGCGCUCGGCCGGCUCACGUGGGGGACGAAUGGCCGGUUGGUCAGUGGUCUGUGCCUUUGUGUUUGUUUUUAUGUAGAAUAUCAACGGCGUUGUGCUAAUGGCGCUUAUACGAGGUCGAAGUUGGUGCGACCAAGAACCCGUUUUGCACGCUGAGACUUCGCAUGGGAGGCAAAACUUGUCGUUACGGCACCACGGCAGUGAAUACAGCCCGUUCGACGACAACUCCCCGUCUCUGCAAACGGCGUGCGAACAUCAGUAACGACAAGUUUGACGUCCAGGACUGCACGCGGACUGCACACGCGCCUGACCGACAUCAUGGAUCUGGAUAAACUGCAAGUUGCUGAGCUGAAGCGGGAGUUAGAUAGGAGGGGAGAAGACACAAGAGGUACAAAAUCUGUUCUACGAGAGAGGUUGGGGCAAGUGUUAAAGGAAGAACUUGCACAGAGUGCUCUAGGUGAUAAGGUUAGUGUUAAGUCCAGUCCUGAGCAGGAGCAGGAGCUGAAAGACGUCAAGGAAGGUGCGGAAGGUGCCAGAUCAGUGAGAUCUGGCUCGUCAUCGACAAGGACAUCCAGCAAGGCUGCUUCAGUGGCUUCGGAGCGAGCCCUGGAGGCAGCAAGGAGGGCGGGACUGCGUACCAAGGCAGCGGCAUUGAAGAAAAGACAUGAGCUUGAAGCGAUGCAAGAGGAGCUAAGAAGAAAGAAGGAAGAGCUUGAAGUUCAAGCUGAGCUUGAUGAAAGUCUGGCAAAAGAAGAAGUACUGGCUCAGUUUGAAAGGGAAACACUGAUGACGUCACUCGAGGAACGUGUGAUGAAAGCACAUGAACAAGAAGAAAGAAAUGAACAAGAACUGCCAAGACAUGAACCAGAAAUGAAACAAGAAAUGAAAAGAGAUGAACCAGAACAGGAACAUGGGCAAAGAAAUGAACAAGAAAUGAGAAAUGAAAUGAGAAAUGAACCAAGAACCAGAAGCGAAUCAAGGAAAACAAAUGAAGCAAGAAGGGUAGAUCAAGAACUGAAGAAACGUGAACAAGAAGCAAGAAAUAAGCGAGAACCCAGAAAGCAUGUCCGAGAAAGAAGACGUGAAGAAGAACCAAAUGGUGAAGAAGAGCCCAGGGAAAUUGAAGAAGACGAAGAAAGCUCAAGAGAAGAAGCUCGAUCAACAAGAAUGAAAAGAAGCGAAGUAGAGAUAGCAUCAGUGCUUCCAAACCUGAAGAGACUGGGAAUGCAACCCCCGGAACUGAUCGCGUUCGACGGCAAGGAAGAGGAGUUCGCUCAAUUUCUGGCCGCAUUUGAGGCAAACAUAGCCGCCAACCUGGACAGCGAAGAAGAAAAGCUGUUAUAUCUGCUACAAAUGACGAAGAAGAAACCUCAUGACAUUGUAGCAACGUGUACCUACCUGGGACAAAAGGGAUAUCAAGAAGCCGUGCGUCUGCUGAAGGCGAGGUACACCGACUUCACAUCGGCGAGAGCGAGCCUGAUUGACAAAGUGUUGAGUCAUCCACCCAUCAGAUAUGAGGACGUUGAAGGUCUUGACAGCUUUACCAUCCUGCUGAGAGGCGUUCUGAACGCCCUUCACUCGACGUCAAGAGGUGGUCUAGAGCCAGGCACAAUAUGCAAGAUCAUCGAGAAAGUACCAUGGAUGGCAGAUCGGUGGCGCAGGACGGCUGACCGAAUCCAGCAAGAGCACCAGCGCCAAGCGAGCUUCACGGAUCUGGUCGACUUCAUGGAAACAGAAGCACGGAUCAGCAAGAACCCUGCAUAUGGAAGACAUGUGCUGGCCACGCGAGCAAGACCAGAGAGAGGUCCUCAAGAAGCUCAGCGAAUGCAGGUCAGAAGAUAUCAGGAUAGUCGAAAGGACACCAAGCACUCAGAACACCAGUUCAGUCAUGAAAGAAGUCGAGCUUAUGCAAGUAGCAUGAAGCAGCCAGAGAAGUGCUUCUACUGCGAUCAGCCCCACGAACUUGAAGUGUGUAGAGCAUUCGAAGCGAAAUCGGAGCAAGAUAAGUCACAGUACGUGCGUCAAAAUGGACUGUGUUUCGGCUGUCUAAAGAAAGGACACCUCUCCAAGAACUGUGAGCAAAGAAGCCGCUGCAAGAAAUGCGAGAAAUCACAUCCUACGAGUCUGCACAGAGAGCCACCUGCAAACGCCAACGUGGUGAAGUCGGGACAUGUAUCGCAGGCAUGUGAAGGUGGUGGAAAGCUUCAGGUGCUUCCAAUAUCAGCCAACUUCGGCGAUCGCUCCGUGGGAACUGGAGCUUUCAUCGAUGCUGGCAGCACACACUCUUUCAUAACACGGAAGCUGGUACGUCAGUUGGGCAUGCAACCAGAGGAGAAAACGUCCGUAGUGAUGUCGACUAUAAAUGGAGAACGAAGAAUGAAGACAGCUCUGGUCACUGGUGUGAGCAUCGGAUCUGAAGACGGCUCUCAUCUAGUCGAGCUCCCAGUACUCUACGUUGUCGAUCACAUCCCCGUCGAAGAGGAGGACGUAGCACGCCAAGAGGACGUCGACAAGUGGCCACAUCUUCGAGAACGUGGAGUCAAGAUCGGCUGGAUGGAGAGGAUGGACAUUGGCCUACAUACUCAUCGGUGCGAACGCCGGUGUGGUGUCAGAACCCGUGGAAGUGGUGAAUCGCCCUGGUCAGGAGGGCCCAUAUGCUGUCAGAACUCGAUAUGGUUGGCUGGUGUGUGGAGUACAGGGCAAGACGGGACCAGGUGCUCAUGUCGCACGAAUCAAUCGCAUCAAGAUCCUGGAGGAUCCCGAUCUGGAAUUCUUCGACAGUACCGAUAGUCGCAGAGGCUAUUCAGUGGAAGACGUCAAAUGGUGUCUCAAGGUCGAGGAUUCAUGCACCAAGAAUGGCGAGAAGUACGAGAUAGGACUACCGUUUCGAGAUGCCAAACCAGAUCUGCCAGACAACCGCGUGAUGGCAGAAAGAAGACUCGAAUCGUUGAGAAGGAAAUUCGACAGGGACGGAAAAUACGCAGCUGACUACAAGGCGCAGAUGAAGAAGCUGCUGAAUGAAGGCUAUGCCGAAGAAGCACCAACAGACUCCGGAAGUGGAAAGGGGGAUCACUGGUACAUCCCACACCACGGUGUGUACCAUCCCACCAAGAACAAACUGAGGGUAGUAUUCGACUGUAGUGCUACCUACAACGGAAUCAGCUUGAACGACGUGCUAUUGCAAGGCCCGAAUCUAUCAAACUCACUGGUCGAUGUUUUGAUUCGCUUUCGUCAGGAGGUGGUAGCCUUCACGGGCGACAUUGAAUCAAUGUUUCUGCAGGUGAUGGUGCCAGAGAACGACAGAAACUACCUGAGUUUCCUGUGGUGGCCGGACGGUGAUGUCAAUGGCGCGGCCCAGGUCUACAGAAUGACAACACAUCUAUUUGGAGCUACGUCCAGCCCCAGCUGCGCAAACUAUGCUCUCCAUCGAACCGCCGAGGACUUUGGAGCUGCGUACUCUCCUGAAGUCAAGAUGGCCCUGAGACGAGGCUUCUAUGUUGACGAUGUCUGUCAGGCGACGACGUCAGAAGCAUCAGCUGUGGAGUUGGCGAUGAACCUGAAGCAGCUCUGCGCCAUGGGUGGCUUCAACCUGACUAAGUUCAGCUCCAACAGCGUUGAAGUGCUCAGAGCGCUGCCAGAGGAGAACAGAUCGAAAGGAAAUCCUCAACUAGGACAAGAAACCCCGUCAAGUGAGAGAGUUCUAGGUGUACGCUGGGACACGGAAAGAGAUGAACUCGGUUUCAGCCUCGACAUCGCUGCACUCGAAAGAAAACCGAGGACGCGACGAGGAAUACUCUCUGCAACAGCAGCCUGCUAUGACCCGCUUGGCCUGGCCGCACCGCACGUGGUUCGGGGAAGGAUGGUUCUGCAAGAGCUGACACGGCUACGAAGUGGCUGGGACGAUCCCGUUCCUGUUGAAGUGGGAGCUGAGUGGGACAGAUGGCUGAGUGAGUUGAGCUGCCUGUUGGAUGCUCGAGUUCCGCGAUGUUUCAGCCCGCAGGGACUGAGUGCCGCGACGACUGUAAGUCUACACCACUUCGCCGAUGCCAGUCUCAAGGGGUAUGGGACAGCCUCCUACAUACGCACUGUGAGCGCAGAUGGUGAAAUAUCCUGCUCACUGGUGAUGGGACGAGGUCGAGUCGCCCCACUCAAGGCGAUUACAGUCCCAAGACUGGAACUAGCCGCAGCCAAGCUCGCCGUCGAAGUCAAUCAAGAACUCUUGCUCGCUUUGGACAGAAAGAUCCAGGACGUUACCUACUGGACGGACAGUACCACGGUACUGCGUUACAUCAGCAACGAGACCACUCGUUACCCUAUCUUCGUAGCGAACAGACUCGCCGCCAUCCAUGAUGGAUCAAGGAAGGAACAGUGGCGAUACGUACCCUCAUCGCUGAAUGCCGCAGACAUGGUUUCUAGAGGAAAUCUCCAUGAUCAAGACAUGUGGCAGAACGGACCAUCAUUCAUCUGGAAGUCACCGGAACAUUGGCCGAAGUCACCAUGCGUCGGUGAGAUUCGCCCUGACGACCCGGAAGUGAAGUCCACUCGGCUCUGUUCUGGCCUGUCGGCUGCAGCCGUGGCACGCAAGACUGAAGACUCCAGCCCACAGCCAAUGGAUCGUCUGAUCGAGUACCAUUCAUCAUGGAAGAAGCUCACGACAGCGGUGGCAUGGAUCCGCCGCACGAUUCAGGUCUUGCAGCGCAAGAUCAAAGGUGAAGAACCCUCAGGAAAACAGGAGCUCACACCUGCUGACUUGGAAGAUGCCGAGAGAAUCGUUGUGAAGCACGUUCAGAAGACGCACUUCCAGCAGGAGCUGGCCGAUUUGGGUGCUGGACGCGAAGUGCGCUGUGCCAGCCGUCUGGCACGUCUGAGCCCGUUUGUGGAUGAUGGCCUCAUCAGGAUGCGCGGACGCUUGACAAACUCUAACUUGGAUUGGACGACAAAGCAUCCUCUGAUCCUUCCAGACAAAGACAAGAUCGUGGAUCUCAUCAUCACUGAUUUGCACGAAAGAGUAGGGCACGAAGGGCGCAUGCAUGUUCUCUCAGAACUCAGGACGAAGUUCUGGGUCAUCAAAGGAAACAGCGCAGUACGGAGGUGUCUACACCGAUGUGUGAAAUGCAGAAGACGCCAUCGCCCGGUGGAAGGACAGAAGAUGGCAGACCUGCCGCGUGAUCGGGUGGAGGAGACUUCUCACCCGUUCUCCUGCACCGGUGUGGACUAUUUUGGUCCGUUGUAUGCCAAGAGAGGACGAGGACACGUGAAAAAGUUUGGUGUCAUCUUCACCUGUCUGAGCGUGAGAGCAGUACAUUUGGAACUUGCAGACAGCCUAUCAGCUGACUCUUUCAUCUGUGCGUUGCGCCGUUUCGUGGCCCGACGAGGCGAUGUGCGCCUGCUCCGCUCCGACAGGGGUACUAACUUCGUAGGAGCCGAAAGGGAGCUGCGAAGAGAAAUCGACACUCUGAUCUCAAGCAACAGUAGCAUUCAGAAGGAGAUGUUGAACAGGGGGAUCGAAUGGCGGUUCAAUACCCCCGCAGCCUCCCACCACGGCGGCGUGUGGGAAAGACUCAUUCGAAGCGUGCGUAAGACUUUGAACGCACUUCUAACAGGACAGACUUUCACAGAAGAAACGCUUCACACGUUUUUAUGUGAAGCAGAGUCAAUCAUCAACAACAGACCGUUGACUCCAGUGACGUCAGACCCACGGGAUGAACUACCCCUGACACCGAAUCACAUUCUUCACCUAAAAUGUGUGACGCAGAACCAGGAUUCGUCGGACGAACGAGAUUUGGACGGCCCCAAGAGAUGGAGGCAAGCGGCAUACCUGGCGGAGCAGUUUUGGCGCGCGUGGAGGCGUUUCUACUUGCCGCUUCUACAGGAGCGCUCCGUUGCUACAAGAAGCCGAACGAACCUGGCGCCAGGAGAUGUCGUCGUUCUGGUAGACGACCUAGUACCAAGAGGAGUGUGGCCUCUCGGCCGCGUGGUCGAGGCACUUAAAGGAGUUGAUGGUCGUGUGCGAUCGGUGAAGGUCCGCGCGAGGGGCACUGUGCUCCUUCGCCCAGUCACCAAGGUGGUGAAGAUCCUGGCUACCGAAGAAUAGAGUAUGGCAUCGUUUUUGAACCCGGAUGGUUCAAAAGGGGUGGGUGUUGGCGCCGCCUCGUCGGCGCACCGGCGCUCUCGUGUUUCCGUAAAGCGGCAGCUCUACUCAGAGCCGGCUGAAGGCCGAACCUUGUCAAGGUCACGGCCGCUGCGCGGCGCUCGGCCGGCUCACGUGGGGGACGAAUGGCCGGUUGGUCAGUGGUCUGUGCCUUUGUGUUUGUUUUUAUGUAGAAUAUCAACGGCGUUGUGCUAAUGGCGCUUAUACGAGGUUGAAGUUGGUGCGACCAAGAACCCGUUUUGCACGCUGAGACUUCGCAUGGGAGGCAAAACUUGUCGGUAUGAACUGAACUGGGGAUUUAGACUGUCAUUAUCUGUAAGAAAUUGUAUGCAAUCAUCACUUGUGACUGCGACUGAAAGUGUUUGCAUUUUUGUAUUUAAAGGUGUUCCGAGAUAAGAUACGAAAGUUAGUAAACAAUGUAUUUGAAACGCGUCAGAUAAGAUAUAAACAAAGGGAAAUU
Molecule: unclassified non-coding RNA, 6711 nt
Filed under: Amphibalanus amphitrite
Lineage: Eukaryota; Metazoa; Arthropoda; Thecostraca; Balanomorpha; Balanidae
Description: uncharacterized LOC122389569, transcript variant X2
Source: RNAcentral